This 549-nucleotide ribosomal RNA is filed under the name uncultured Rhizophagus. RNAcentral's name for it is "SSU rRNA". It matches the Rfam family "Eukaryotic small subunit ribosomal RNA", at positions 548 to 1098 of the family's 1831-position model. The record is from RNAcentral. Lineage: Eukaryota; Fungi; Glomeromycota; Glomeromycetes; Glomerales; Glomeraceae.
UUGGAGGGCAAGUCUGGUGCCAGCAGCCGCGGUAAUUCCAGCUCCAAUAGCGUAUAUUAAAGUUGUUGCAGUUAAAAAGCUCGUAGUUGAAUUUCGGGGUCAGCAGGUUGGUCAUGCCACAGGUAUGUACUGGUCUCACUGAUUCCUCCUUCCUGAUGAACUGUAAUGCCAUUAAUUUGGUGUUGCAGGGAAUCUGGACUGUUACUUUGAAAAAAUUAGAGUGUUUAAAGCAGGCUAACGCCUGAAUACAUUAGCAUGGAAUAAUGAAAUAGGACGUUCGAUCCUAUUUUGUUGGUUUCUAGGAUUGACGUAAUGAUUAAUAGGGAUAGUUGGGGGCAUUAGUAUUCAAUUGUCAGAGGUGAAAUUCUUGGAUUUAUUGAAGACUAACUACUGCGAAAGCAUUUGCCAAGGAUGUUUUCAUUAAUCAAGAACGAAAGUUAGGGGAUCGAAGACGAUCAGAUACCGUCGUAGUCUUAACCAUAAACUAUGCCGACUAGGGAUCGGGUGAUGUUAAUUUUUUAAUGACUCAUUCGGCGCCUUACGGGAAAC